This 461-nucleotide ribosomal RNA is filed under the name uncultured bacterium. Its description in RNAcentral is "bacterial SSU rRNA". It matches the Rfam family "Bacterial small subunit ribosomal RNA", at positions 338 to 790 of the family's 1533-position model. The record is from RNAcentral.
CCUACGGGUGGCUGCAGUCGAGAAUAUUUCGCAAUGGGGGAAACCCUGACGAUGCGACGCCGCGUGGGGGAUGAAGGCCUUCGGGUCGUAAACCUCUGUGUUACGGGAUGAAUUGAGCGUUGCUGAUAACGCAGCGUUUUUGACGUUACCGUAGUAGAAAGCCCCAGCUAACUACGUGCCAGCAGCUGCGGUAAUACGUAGGGGGCAAGCGUUGUCCGGAAUCACUGGGCGUAAAGCGCGCGCAGGCGGUGGAGUAAGUCAGACGUGAAAGGGUUCGGCUCAACCGAGCCAUUGCGUUUGAUACUGCCUCACUUGAGUCUAGAAGAGGAAAGUGGAAUGUAUGGUGUAGCGGUGGAAUGCUUAGAUAUCAUAUAGAACACCCGUGGCGAAGGCGGCUUUCUGGUCUAAGACUGACGCUCAUGCGCGAAAGUUUGGGGAGCAACCGGGAUUAGAAACCCCGG